This 250-nucleotide ribosomal RNA is filed under the name uncultured bacterium. Its description in RNAcentral is "partial 16S ribosomal RNA". It matches the Rfam family "Bacterial small subunit ribosomal RNA", at positions 524 to 773 of the family's 1533-position model. The record is from RNAcentral. RNAcentral also lists the same sequence under 3 other names.
UACGGAGGGGGCUAGCGUUGUUCGGAAUUACUGGGCGUAAAGCGCACGUAGGCGGCUUUGUAAGUUAGAGGUGAAAGCCCAGGGCUCAACCCUGGAAUUGCCUUUAAGACUGCAUCGCUUGAACAUCGGAGAGGUAAGUGGAAUUCCGAGUGUAGAGGUGAAAUUCGUAGAUAUUCGGAAGAACACCAGUGGCGAAGGCGACUUACUGGACGAUUGUUGACGCUGAGGUGCGAAAGCGUGGGGAGCAAAC